RNAcentral lists this ribosomal RNA (504 nucleotides) under uncultured bacterium. RNAcentral describes it as "partial 16S ribosomal RNA". It matches the Rfam family "Bacterial small subunit ribosomal RNA", at positions 30 to 523 of the family's 1533-position model. The record is from RNAcentral.
AUUGAACGCUGGCGGCAGGCCUAACACAUGCAAGUCGAACGGUAGCACAGAGAGCUUGCUCUUGGGUGACGAGUGGCGGACGGGUGAGUAAUGUCUGGGGAACUGCCCGAUGGAGGGGGAUAACUACUGGAAACGGUAGCUAAUACCGCAUAACGUCUUCGGACCAAAGUGGGGGACCUUCGGGCCUCACACCAUCGGAUGUGCCCAGAUGGGAUUAGCUAGUAGGUGGGGUAAUGGCUCACCUAGGCGACGAUCCCUAGCUGUUCUGAGCGGAAGACCAGCCACACUGGAACUGAGACACGGUCCAGAAUCGUACGGGAGGCAGCAGUGGGGAAUAUUGCACAAUGGGCGCAAGCCUGAUGCAGCCAUGCCGCGUGUAUGAAGAAGGCCUUCGGGUUGUAAAGUACUUUCAGCGGGGAGGAAGGCGAUGGAGUUAAUAGCUUCAUCGAUUGACGUUACCCGCAGAAGAAGCACCGGCUAACUCCGUGCCAGCCGCCGCCGUAA